CUGCACAUUAACGCACAGAGCACUAGUGUGUGACACAUCAACUAGUGAACCAUGGCGGAAGGCAACCUGGCGUGUGUUUAUUGAUGAUGCUGACGUACCCCUCCAUCCUCCCCCGCCACCACCAGGUUGGCUCAUGUCCAUCCAUUGGGGUAGGCUCCACCCCUGCCUUCGUCUUCAGAUGGAGAACUUCAUGGUUCACUCCUCCCCGCGAAUCUUGGGAGAAACAGGAUGCACAGGCUCGUCCAGCAACCCGGACACAAUCGGUCGAAUCCACUGAUGAGGCAGCUCCAAUGAGCACCUUGCCACAUGGUAGCCAGAAAAAAGUCUCAAACACUCAAACACCGGUGAAUAGAAAUCCAGACCUGACUUUACCCUGAAGGCAACACUUGCUUGCUUCCCUUGUCUCCUGCUGCGCCUCUUCCGAGGAACGUCGACAGGCCUUUAACACACUCCACUCCAUACGGCAUCAGUCGAAAAAGAGACUAAGUUUGCAAUUUUAAGCAGGGUUUGACAGCCAUAGAUUAAUGAGGUAGACCUAGUAUAUUAAAAAUAACAUUAAAAUAGUCGACAACAACACACAGGACAGACAUCUAGACUCAAACACCAGUGCCAUCUUGCUCAUAUCCGUUACACCGCAUGACAGUUUUUAGAAUCAUUAAAUAUAAACAUACCUUGAAAUCGGUAAGAGAAACCAACAUUAAAACAUUUCUAAGAACUCGAUCUUUCUAAGAACUAGAUUUUCCCUUGUUGUUAUUGUGGUCACUCUUAUAUGGCAUUGAGCAUCUCGAGUCCCAGUAGCCGACAGCUUAUUGUAUUAAUACUGAUUCAGUCAUUAAAAAAAACUCCCCUCCCCCCACCCCAGGAAACCAGUUUCUUAUUUAACUACUGUUUGCUGACUGAAAGCCUGGUAUUUCUUUGCCAUCUGUCCUGAGAUGCAUUGUUUUUUUGUUUGUUUUUUGGCUCUAAACAUCUUAUUGAAAUGCAUGAGUUAGAUUUUGAUGGUUUGGCAGACCAAUGAGACAGCUCGUCGUUCCCGCCUCUAAAAUGAAGCACCGUUGUAACGUUUGUCUAAUUGCCCUGGAAUACGCUAGAACUGCAUCUGAAAGGAAGUGGACAAAAGUUCACAGUGGGUCAUUUUGGCUUGCUAAGAUGAAAACUGCUUCCAUUUUUAAUGAGGAUUGACCCAAAAGGUCCCUUUUACUCACAACUUUGGAGGCUGGCAGUGCAUGUCCUCUCUCACGCAGAAGUCCCUUGAGCUGUUGGAGGCCCCAACACCAUGUGACCCUCUCCCCCAUGUUGGGCCAUGGGGCCCCCCGCACAUCAUACACAACGUGAGUUAAAUGAGCUCAGUGCCCAAAUAGGGGCCUUUCAUCCUGGCCUCGCAGUCCCCAUACUUGUUUGGAGGUCAAUGUGUCAAUUCGUGUAAUGGAGGUCCUCCAUGAUCCAGUGUGAGAAAAGUGUGUUCAAUUCCGUGUGUGAAAAACAAAUACUGACACUUGUUUUGCAACAGUGAUAUGAUGAAUAACACAUUGAAUGAUGUGUCAGACGUGACUACGAGUUAUAAAUCGUAUAAUUACUCAUAAAUUUGGAUCUUCUCUGAUCUUCCAUAUGAGUGCAAUAUCUUUCCUCUUGAGUAAGAGAUGACAAUUAUUCAUUUAAAAGAGAAGGUGGGUGGAAAUGUAUUCAUUGAAAAUAACGUGACAUUCAGACAUUAUUAGCAUUGGUUCCAAAAGCAAACAUCACUUUUUUUGCUCAUAAUUGGAGAUAUAUGUUUGAACCUCAAAUACUCAACUUUAGCAUGUAACUGUAACAUGUAAUAGGCCUUUAUAUUCAACUUCAAUGUGGAAAUUGACAAACGGGACCUUUCAUGCUGACAUUUUCUGCUAAACCAUUAAGACCUUUAGCCUUAAUCUAACCCAUACUACAAUGUCAAACUUAAAACUAACUUUUAAUCCUCACUUUGGCAAUGUUCAAAAGGAAAGUGUUCAUGCAGAAAAUUGGGUCAGACUGACCGCUAACCCCAUUCCCAGCACACACACACUCUCUCUGGAUUGAGGGAUGGACUACAAGUGUACAGAAGGGAAGGGGGAGUUUGUUUAUGGAGGGAAAGACAUGAAAUGCAAAUGUUCACCACAACAGCGCCAAAAGACAUCAGCACACAAACUCUGAUUCACCAGUUGAGACUUGUUUACAUCAAUUUCUACUUCUGCUCAUCUAACAAGUAAUAAGAUUCCCAAUUUCACAUUAGCGUUAUAUUGUUCUCUAUUAUGUUGAUUUACUUAGGCACAGUAUCCGUCCAUCCAUCCAUCCAUCCAUCAAGCCA
Molecule: long non-coding RNA, 2323 nt
Organism: Pimephales promelas (fathead minnow)
Lineage: Eukaryota; Metazoa; Chordata; Actinopteri; Cypriniformes; Leuciscidae
Source: RefSeq, a predicted model, not a curated record